RNAcentral lists this ribosomal RNA (413 nucleotides) under uncultured bacterium. RNAcentral's name for it is "bacterial SSU rRNA". It matches the Rfam family "Bacterial small subunit ribosomal RNA", at positions 28 to 441 of the family's 1533-position model. The record is from RNAcentral.
GACGAACGCUGGCGGCGUGCAUAACACAUUCAAGUCGAACGGAGAAGACUGCUUCGGUAGUUUUCUUAGUGGCGGACGGGUGAGUAACGCGUGAGCAAUCUACCUCCCAGUACGGAAUAACAACCGGAACAGUUGCUAAUACCGCAUGAAAUGGCAGCAUCGCAUGGUGCAACCAUCAAAGAUUUAUCGCUGGAAGAUGAGCUUGCGUCCGAUUAGAUAGUUGGCGGAGUAACAGCCCACCAAGUCGACGAUCGGUAGCCGGACUGAGAGGUUGAACGGCCACAUUGGAACUGAGACACGGUCCAGACUCCUACGGGAGGCAGCAGUGAGGAAUAUUGGUCCAAUGGUCGAAGGACUGAACCAGCCAUGCGCGUGAAGGUGACGGCCCUAUGGGUCUUAAACUUCUUUUGUAA